RNAcentral lists this long non-coding RNA (854 nucleotides) under Danio rerio (zebrafish). RNAcentral describes it as "lncRNA si:ch211-225h9.2 (ENSDARG00000096775.2)". Lineage: Eukaryota; Metazoa; Chordata; Actinopteri; Cypriniformes; Danionidae. The record is from RNAcentral.
GUGUACACAAGACACCAUUUUGGAUUAUCUACAUGAGAUUUGAACUGCGUGCCUCUGUUUGAAACUCCAAGGUACUUAACAAGAAAGGAUAAUUGGAUAAUUUGGAUAUUUUCGACGAGGAUCCGACCGUGUGAAUGUCUUGAGAAGAGAAAGGGGGUAACUAUAGCCUAAUUUAGCAAGCUAACGUUAGCUGGAGGACUCAUUUUCACAUCACACACAGAUGUCUGCCACCACUGCUAAUCUUGAAAAGAUGGGUAACCUGCCAGUGACUCCUCAUUUGAUUCUGCCUGGUUCAGAUGAUACUUUGGGCCAGUGGAUAAAACAAUGGAUGAUCAGCAUGGAAGGCAGAGUAAUCUGUGAGGGUGAGCAUGCACACUGGAAUUCCUUCAAAGAUGCUUUGCUGGCAUAAAUCCAGAGAGGGGAACCAAGGCUGUGAGGGGAAAUGUGACAUCAAAAAAAAAAACUGGCAAGACAGUUCAGAAGAAGACCAUGACUUUAAACCCCAAGGUUUCAAACAUUUUAAAGAAACUAAUGGACUUUGAAUGGGACUUUAUUUAAAAUGCAGCUUGCUUGCACCCCCCUACUUUUGAAACACAGAGGACUUUUUUCUUUAUUUGCUGAAGCUCAUUUUAGGGCUAUAUAUUUUUAUAUUUUAUAUCCAAGACUAAAUUGUAAAGUGGCUAUUUAUUAAUUUUUUCUAUGACAUUCGGUAAGUUGCUUCUUGUUGUACAAUGCUGAAUACGAUCUUAACAUUUCUGGAGAACUUACAAUUUUUGCCUGUUCUUUGGCUUAAUAUUUACACAAACACAAUGCAGAUUUUAUUUUGUGUUGUUUGAAAAUAAAAAUGUGAAAUA